RNAcentral lists this ribosomal RNA (828 nucleotides) under Pseudo-nitzschia dolorosa. RNAcentral's name for it is "LSU rRNA". It matches the Rfam family "Eukaryotic large subunit ribosomal RNA", at positions 1 to 902 of the family's 3401-position model. Lineage: Eukaryota; Bacillariophyta; Bacillariophyceae; Bacillariales; Bacillariaceae. The record is from RNAcentral.
CAAUCCGGAUCUCAGAUCAAGCAAGAUUACCCGCUGAAUUUAAGCAUAUAAUUAAGCGGAGGAAAAGAAACUAACUAGGAUUCCCUCAGUAACGGCGAGUGAAGCGGGACUAGCUCAGGAUGUGAAUCUGCGCUUUUAUGGCGCCGAAUUGUGGUCUAUAGACUUUAACAUUAUCUGCCGGGCCAAGUUCCUUGGAAAAGGACAGCUGAGAGGGUGAGACUCCCGUCCGCCUGGUAGAGUGAGUUUUUGUCAACGAGUCGAGUUGUUUGGGAUUGCAGCUCUAAUUUGGUGGUAAAUUCCAUCUAAAGCUAAAUAUUGGUGGGAGACCGAUAGCGUACAAGUACCGUGAGGGAAAGAUGCAAAGAACUUUGAAAAGAGAGUUAAAGAGUACCUGAAAUUGCUGAAACGGAAGCGAAGGAAACCAGUGUUUGUUGGUUCAUAUUUCCCUGGCCACUUGUGGUUUGGGCGCUGUGAGCUUGCGUGGGUUUGCUUUGGUUGAUCCCUUUGGAAGAGCGCAGUCAGAGUUGAUGUCUGUUGCUAGCACUGGGUUUGACUAAUGCAGACGAAAUGGUUUUCUUUACCCCGUCUUGAAACACGGACCAAGGAGUCUAACAUAUGUGCGAGUACAGGGGUGUCAAACCCCGGUGCGUAAUGAAAGUGACAGUGGUUGGAUAUUUUGCACAAUCCGCCGGCCUCAAUCCUUCGGGAGAACGGUCUGAGUGUGAGCAUACAUGUUGGGACCCGAAAGAUGGUGAACUAUGCCUGAAUAGGGUGAAGCCAGGGGAAACUCUGGUGGAGGCUCGUAGCGAUUCUGACGUGCAAAUCGUU